Molecule: long non-coding RNA, 978 nt
Organism: Vigna unguiculata (cowpea)
Lineage: Eukaryota; Viridiplantae; Streptophyta; Magnoliopsida; Fabales; Fabaceae
Source: RefSeq, a predicted model, not a curated record
AGUGCAGUGUUGUCUCAGUGCGGUGUUGCUUUCCUUUGUCGUGGUCGUGUCUCCACCGUCCUCUACCGUCGUCGCACAUCUUCCAUCGUUCUUCCUCACUUCUUCACCGUCUCAGAGGUGCAGUGCUGCUUUCCUUUGUAGCGUGGUCGUUUCUCAAAGGAGAAGAUCGUUCUCCACUCUCCAUCGUCUUCCACCGCUGCACAUCGUUCUCCACCGUUCUUCCUCACUGUCUCAUGGAAACUUCCUCCACCACCGCUUGAGAUAACGAAGAUUGCUCUCCCUUGCUUCCAAUUUCGUUUUCAUACUUCAUCUCCCUAUUUCGUCUUUCGAUUUUUCUCUUUCGAUCUCUCAAUUUCAUUUUCAUACUUCAUCUCCCUUGGUUUUGUUUUCAUUUCAUUUGCUAUUACGUUCAAUUUUUGCUUUCGAUUUUGCUCUAAUUUCAUUUCUCUUUUUGAUUUUGUCACUACGUGCGAUUUUGCCAAGUAACCGUGCCAUAGCCAUUGCAAUCGGAUUGAGUUCAGAUUUGCCAUUGCCAAGAAUCGUGCGUUCAAUUUUCGUGCUCCUCUUUUCGGGCGUUCAAUCGGAGUGCGUUCAAUUUUCGUGCGUUCAAUCAGAUUGGUACAAUGUUCGUUGGCAUGGUUCACGAAGUUGCUUACACCUUGCAAUAGAGGGAUACUUGAAGAAGCAUUGAUGUCAAAUGCAGAGAAAGCUCGAACUUUAUUUGGAAUUUCUCUCUCUUGGGACUCUAAUUUAAUCAUCAAUGCCUUUUCAUCUUUAUUAUACAACAAUACGUGAAGAAGGAAAAGGACGAAGGCUCUUUGCAAAUUCACCAACUAAUUCAGUUUUUGGAAAUAGAGUUAAUGUAAGAAUUUCUUAUCCUUAUAUAUUAUGUAUUAUAGUUUAAUCAUUAUAUUUUAUCCUUCUAUUUUAUUAUAUAUUCCAAAUUCAUUCCAUAUUUGUAAUAAUGUUUAAGUUUCU